This 256-nucleotide ribosomal RNA is filed under the name uncultured bacterium. RNAcentral describes it as "partial 16S ribosomal RNA". It matches the Rfam family "Bacterial small subunit ribosomal RNA", at positions 524 to 776 of the family's 1533-position model. The record is from RNAcentral.
GACGUAGGUGGCGAACGUUAUCCGGAAUUAUUGGGCGUAAAGGGUGCGUAGAUGGCAUGAUAAGUUAUUGGUGGUAAAUCGAGGCUCAACCUCGUGGAAGCUGGUAAUACUGUCAUACUUGAGUGCAGAAGAGGUUAACGGAACUCCCUGUGGAGCGGUAAAAUGUGAAGAUAUAGGGAAGAACACCAAUAACGGCGAAGGCAGUUAACUAUUCUGUUACUGACAUUGAGGCACGAAAGCGUGGGGAGCAAAACGG